CAGAUGCUGACUCAAGAUCAUCUCAUUCAGUCAUGGGUCGUCCAGGGAUUCAGAUGUGGACAUGGAAACUGUGUGUCUUCCUGAGCUGGAUGUGCGUGGGCCAAGCGGUGUCAGGACCGCAGUACAUGGUAGCCAUUCCUGCAGUCCUUGAAUCUG
Etheostoma cragini (Arkansas darter) is the source of this 156-nucleotide long non-coding RNA. RefSeq lists it as uncharacterized. The record is from RefSeq and is a predicted model, not a curated record. The transcript has 2 exons. Lineage: Eukaryota; Metazoa; Chordata; Actinopteri; Perciformes; Percidae.